This 497-nucleotide ribosomal RNA is filed under the name uncultured bacterium. Its description in RNAcentral is "partial 16S ribosomal RNA". It matches the Rfam family "Bacterial small subunit ribosomal RNA", at positions 28 to 507 of the family's 1533-position model. The record is from RNAcentral.
GGUGAACGCUGGCGGCGUGCCUAAUACAUGCAAGUCGAGCGAACGGACGAGAAGCUUGCUUCUCUGAUGUUAGCGGCGGACGGGUGAGUAACACGUGGAUAACCUACCUAUAAGACUGGGAUAACUUCGGGAAACCGGAGCUAAUACCGGAUAAUAUUUUGAACCGCAUGGUUCAAAAGUGAAAGACGGUCUUGCUGUCACUUAUAGAUGGAUCCGCGCUGCAUUAGCUAGUUGGUAAGGUAACGGCUUACCAAGGCAACGAUGCAUAGCCGACCUGAGAGGGUGAUCGGCCACACGGGAACGGAGACACGGUCCAGACUCCUACGGGAGGCAGCAGUAGGGAAUCUUCCGCAAUGGGCGAAAGCCUGACGGAGCAACGCCGCGUGAGUGAUGAAGGUCUUCGGAUCGUAAAACUCUGUUAUUAGGGAAGAACAUAUGUGUAAGUAACUGUGCACAUCUUGACGGUACCUAAUCAGAAAGCCACGGCUAACUACGUG